CCUACGGGGGGCAGCAGUGAGGAAUAUUGGUCAAUGGCCGCAGGGCUGAACCAGCCAAGUCGCGUGAGGGAUGACGGUUCUAUGGAUUGUAAACCUCUUUUGCCAGGGAGCAAAGGGCCCCAAGUGUGGCGCUUUGCGAGUACCUGAAGAAAAAGCAUCGGCUAACUCCGUGCCAGCAGCCGCGGGAAUACGGAGGAUGCGAGCGUUAUCCGGAUUUAUUGGGUUUAAAGGGUGCGCAGGCGGAAUGGCAAGGCAGCGGUAAAAUUUCGGGGCUCAACCCCGUCGUGCCGUCGAAACUGGCGUUCUUGAGUGAGCGGGGAGUAUGCGGAAUGCGUGGUGUAGCGGUGAAAUGCAUAGAUAUCACGCAGAACUCCGAUUGCGAAGGCAGCAUACCGGCGCUCAACUGACGCUCAUGCACGAAAGCGUGGGUAUCGAACAGGAUUAGAUACCCUUGUAGUC
This 459-nucleotide ribosomal RNA is filed under the name uncultured bacterium. RNAcentral's name for it is "partial 16S ribosomal RNA". It matches the Rfam family "Bacterial small subunit ribosomal RNA", at positions 338 to 795 of the family's 1533-position model. The record is from RNAcentral.